UACCUUGCGCAGUGGCAAUAUCGUAACCAAUGAAGGCCUCCUGAGGUGCGAUUAUUGCUAGUUGAAAACUUUUUGACAAUGUUUUUUCUCUUUUUCUAUAAAAGAUAAAAUUCCCAAAUUUUCUUUAAAU
Molecule: small nuclear RNA, 130 nt
Filed under: Rhodnius prolixus
Lineage: Eukaryota; Metazoa; Arthropoda; Insecta; Hemiptera; Reduviidae
Description: U4 spliceosomal RNA
Rfam family: U4 spliceosomal RNA
About the family: U4 small nuclear RNA (U4 snRNA) is a component of the major U2-dependent spliceosome. The structure of U4 snRNA from yeast and human has been reported.
Source: Rfam by way of RNAcentral